AUACAUGCAAGUCGAGCGGACAGAUGGGAGCUUGCUCCCUGAUGUUAGCGGCGGACGGGUGAGUAACACGUGGGUAACCUGCCUGUAAGACUGGGAUAACUCCGGGAAACCGGGGCUAAUACCGGAUGCUUGAUUGAACCGCAUGGUUCAAUUAUAAAAGGUGGCUUUUAGCUACCACUUACAGAUGGACCCGCGGCGCAUUAGCUAGUUGGUGAGGUAACGGCUCACCAAGGCAACGAUGCGUAGCCAACCUGAGAGGGUGAUCGGCCACACUGGGACUGAGACACGGCCCAAACUCCUACGGGAGGCAGCAGUAGGGAAUCUUCCGCAAUGGACGAAAGUCUGACGGAGCAACGCCCCGUGAGUGAUGAAGGUUUUCGGAUCGUAAAACUCUGUUGUUAGGGAAGAACAAGUACCGUUCGAAUAGGGCGGUACCUUGACGGUACCUAACCAGAAGGCCACGGCUAACUACGUGCCAGCAGCCGCGGUAAUACGUAGGUGGCAAGCGUUGUCCGGAAUUAUUGGGCGUAAAGCGCGCGCAGGCGGUUUCUUAAGUCUGAUGUGAAAGCCCCCGGCUCAACCGGGGAGGGUCAUUGGAAACUGGGGAACUUGAGUGCAGAAGAGGAGAGUGGAAUUCCACGUGUAGCGUUGAAAUGCGUAGAGAUGUGGAGGAACACCAGUGGCGAAGGCGACUCUCUGGUCUGUAACUGACGCUAAGGCGCGAAAGCGUGGGGAGCGAACAGGAUUAGAUACCCUGGUAGUCCACGCCGUAAACGAUGAGUGCUAAGUGUUAGAGGGUUUCCGCCCUUUAGUGCUGCAGCAAACGCAUUAAGCACUCCGCCGGGGGAGUACGGUCGCAAGACUGAAACUCAAAGGAAUUGACGGGGGCCCGCACAAGCGGUGGAGCAUGUGGUUUAAUUCGAAGCAACGCGAAGAACCUUACCAGGUCUUGACAUCCUCUGACAACCCUAGAGAUAGGGCUUCCCCUUCGGGGGCAGAGUGACAGGUGGUGCAUGGUUGUCGUCAGCUCGUGUCGUGAGAUGUUGGGUUAAGUCCCGCAACGAGCGCAACCCUUGAUCUUAGUUGCCAGCAUUCAGUUGGGCACUCUAAGGUGACUGCCGGUGACAAACCGGAGGAAGGUGGG
This 1144-nucleotide ribosomal RNA is filed under the name Bacillus licheniformis. RNAcentral's name for it is "bacterial SSU rRNA". It matches the Rfam family "Bacterial small subunit ribosomal RNA", at positions 51 to 1177 of the family's 1533-position model. The record is from RNAcentral. Lineage: Bacteria; Bacillati; Bacillota; Bacilli; Caryophanales; Bacillaceae.